Caenorhabditis elegans is the source of this 21-nucleotide non-coding RNA. NCBI's taxonomy places the organism in Eukaryota, Metazoa, Nematoda, Chromadorea, Rhabditida, Rhabditidae. The record is from Ensembl.
UAACAAAUCAUCAUGCUAUAA